CAAAGUGCUGGGAUUACAGGCGUGAGCCAUCAUGCCUGGCCUCCAAUAUGCUUCUUACAACUCUCAUCAGUAUCAUUUGAAACAUGCUUAAAAGCCUCCGCUAUGACUGGUGCAAAUCUUUUGUAAGCUCCGGCCCCUUCCUUUUGCUUUGUAUUUUAGUAGAGGCAAGGUUUCACCAUGUUGCCCAGGUGGUCUCACUGGCAAGGUGAGAAAAGUAAGUCUCCUGUUUGGCUUUGCUCUCUGCAGCUCCAGCUACCACGCAGUGACCAUGGGCCUGGGUGCUUGCUGUGGUGAAUGAGCCAUAGGGACCAGGUCUACAUGCUCUGCUGUCUCCUUCCGAACCCUGUGCUGUCAUCAGGACUGGGUGCUCUCUCUCUAAGGAUGCGUUGUGGCUUGUGUGCUGGAGUCCCAUUUCCUGUGUGGCUGUUAGCACGUGAAGAGAUGGUAGUGAUGUUCACCGUGAUAAUGGUGCUGCUUUAUUGUGGAAGCUUUCAGCGGAAGUCACUCCCAUGGAAUCCAAGUAAUGUGGCAUCUGAAGUUCCCUCCAAGUGCAUGCAAAGACACAGGUGGGUUUUCCUAGAGGAGGAGUCAAGUCUUUUAUUAAACCCUCAAAGGAAUUCAUGACUCCAAAAAAGAUGAAGGGCCUAUGAAAUAUUUCUUCAGCUUUAUGCUCUUGGAGGAAACUGGCAAUCCAAGUUUGUAAAGAGCAAUAUGACAAAACCUGUAUUUCCUGAUUAACAGCCAAGUGUUAUUAGACUAUGAUGAAUAAGACAUAUUAAAAGUAAUCAUAACCUGAUAAACUGGGUAGCUACACAUGCUACUUGAAAUUUGCUGUCUUGGACACAGAGCUAAAGUAAAA
Molecule: long non-coding RNA, 859 nt
Organism: Piliocolobus tephrosceles (Ugandan red Colobus)
Lineage: Eukaryota; Metazoa; Chordata; Mammalia; Primates; Cercopithecidae
Exons: 3
Source: RefSeq, a predicted model, not a curated record